UACGGAGGGGGCUAGCGUUGUUCGGAAUUACUGGGCGUAAAGCGCACGUAGGCGGCUUUGUAAGUUAGAGGUGAAAGCCCGGGGCUCAACUCCGGAAUUGCCUUUAAGACUGCAUCGCUGGAAUUGUGGAGAGGUAAGUGGAAUUCCGAGUGUAGAGGUGAAAUUCGUAGAUAUUCGGAAGAACACCAGUGGCGAAGGCGACUUACUGGACACAUAUUGACGCUGAGGUGCGAAAGCGUGGGGAGCAAACAGG
This 253-nucleotide ribosomal RNA is filed under the name uncultured bacterium. Its description in RNAcentral is "partial 16S ribosomal RNA". It matches the Rfam family "Bacterial small subunit ribosomal RNA", at positions 524 to 776 of the family's 1533-position model. The record is from RNAcentral.